UACCACAUGCGAAGGAAUAGCAUUAAAUGUGUUGUGAAUGCAGCAACUAUCGCUGUAAAAGCGGCUGGCAUCGGAAGCACUAUACAGCCGCUAUUUGAACCUAAAGCAUCGGCAGCCGAAAACUUUCGGUCAUCUCCGAUAAUUUCCGCGUUUCGCCGAACAACGCCAACACUUCCUGUCGUCACAGCGAGCGAAAAAUGGCUGCCGACAGAGGAGAAGAGAAAAGGUCGCCGAGUGUGCUGGGAUCUGGUGGACGGAUGGGCGAGAUGUCUGACAGUUGUGACCUCCCUACUGUUCCCGAAACUCCGUCGACAGAGAUUAUACAUGGAGUCUGACCAAUACAAAAGUCUUCCAAUGUGCCAGAGUCACCAGCUGUGAUUCUCACACAAUGAGGUCACAGUCUGCAGAAGUGUUCAAGACUUGAGCAACAAGAUGACACAAGUUUCCUGGAUGUGUCUCACUUAGAUGAGACACCGAUCAAGCUUCCAGGAUAGAUGAGAC
This is a long non-coding RNA of Haliotis rubra (blacklip abalone), 501 nucleotides long. RefSeq lists it as uncharacterized. NCBI's taxonomy places the organism in Eukaryota, Metazoa, Mollusca, Gastropoda, Lepetellida, Haliotidae. The transcript is spliced from 3 exons. The record is from RefSeq and is a predicted model, not a curated record.